AACCAUAGAAACCUGCGGAGUACCUGCGGAGGGAUCAUUACAGAGAACCUGCUCCUCGGGGUAGAUCUCCCACCCACUGUAAACAGUACCAUGUUGCUUUGGCAGGCCCGUCUUCUGACCACCGGCUUUGGCUGGUCCGUGCCUGCCAGAGGAUUGAAAAUUCCGUAUUUUCUGUUUUCUGAGUUUAUAUUUGAAUAGUUAAAACUUUUAACAACGGAUCU
RNAcentral lists this unclassified non-coding RNA (221 nucleotides) under soil metagenome. RNAcentral describes it as "partial contains 5.8S ribosomal RNA, internal transcribed spacer 2, and large subunit ribosomal RNA". The record is from RNAcentral.